GACGAACGCUGGCGGCGUGCUUAACACAUGCAAGUCGAACGGAAAGGCCCUGCUUUUGUGGGGUGCUCGAGUGGCGAACGGGUGAGUAACACGUGAGUAACCUGCCCUUGACUUUGGGAUAACUUCAGGAAACUGGGGCUAAUACCGGAUAGGAGCUCCUGCUGCAUGGUGGGGGUGGGAAAGUUUCGGCGGUUGGGGAUGGACUCGCGGCUUAUCAGCUUGUUGGUGGGGUAGUGGCUUACCAAGGCUUUGACGGGUAGCCGGCCUGAGAGGGUGACCGGCCACAUUGGGACUGAGAUGCGGCCCAGACUCCUACGGGAGGCAGCAGUGGGGAAUAUUGCACAAUGGGCGGAAGCCUGAUGCAGCAACGCCGCGUGCGGUAUGACGGCCUUCGGGUUGUAAACCGCUUUCGCCUGUGACGAAGCGUGAGUGACGGUAAUGGGUAAAGAAGCACCGGCUAACUACGUG
Molecule: ribosomal RNA, 468 nt
Filed under: uncultured bacterium
Lineage: Bacteria
Description: partial 16S ribosomal RNA
Rfam family: Bacterial small subunit ribosomal RNA
Source: RNAcentral